ACUACAGGUGAUCAAUUCUUACUCUUCUGCAGCAGUUUUUACUUACCAGCCUUUGACUUCAUCUUUGGAAUUGGCUGUAAACCCCACUUGUCCUUAUGCAUUUUGAUUGAAGUUUAAAUUCUGUUUCCCUGUUAAGUGAGACUGGAAAGAUCCUAUUGCAUUAUAUCAUUGCACUCUGAUGAAUGUCAACAGUCAUAAGAAGCUAAGAAAAUAUUUUUCGAGGAUGUAAGUUAAAUCUGUCUUGCUGAUGAAAAAGAAGAAAUAUUCACACUGCAAGAAGAAAUCGGAGUGUAUUUCCUUGGUUGAUGUGGCCUAUCUUACUGUCAUAGUCUGCCGCUUUUAUUCCCAGAUGAGAUGUUUCUCAGUCAUGACUUCUGAAGACUUACAGCCUUCCUGGGCUCCCAAGAUCCAAGGAUGCCCUCUUACCUUGUCUUUUAUCUUUCUUGGAAACAUUUAAAAGAAAACUGGAAAACUGCAGUGAUACAUGAACAAUUCACAGCUUUCUCAGCAGGAAAAUUGGCCUCUUUACAUUGGAAGACCUCUGGCUGUGGUGUUUGCAUUUCAGAGCCUUUCUGUGGGAAAUGAAUUUGUAGAAAAUUCUCAAAGCCUGACAGAAGGCUCACAUAUUCAGGUCAGACACGGAACUGACAAAUUCCAAGGCAGGCAACACCCAGAAACCACCAUUCAGAGGAGGACAAUGCAGUGCCAGGAAUUGGAGACUUUGCCAUUGGCAUCAAAAAGGAGGACACAUCAAGAUAAGCCAUCAGUCCUCCUCCCGGAAGCAGCGGAGCUGUGAGCGCCUGACCAUCACGCUUAUCAUAGGAGGGGAACGCCUGCCCAUUCAGAAUUUCAUUUUCCAUUCACCCACUGGAGGAGAGAAAUUAACACUUCUCCCUCCCAGAGGAGACCACAUUCAGCAGACCAACGACAGUGAUGCAUUUGAAUAACCACUCCAAGAAAACAAAGAACUGUGGGGAAAUUCUAUUCCAGGGGCGAAAUAAACCAUAUAAAACCUGGACCCUAGAUGGGGCCAAUUCAUGAACUGUGGGGGAUUGCAGUGCGAUAGAGGCUGCUUUCCAGUUCACCCUUUGACGAUCCCGGGUUAUCAUCACGGUAACUCUGCUUGUUGGUUUUACCAAAAUUCUGUAAUUCUAUUUUUUUAAUAAACCAAAUUAUAUUUAAUUUGCAAAGUGGAUUGGCAUUUAUAACACCACGAUAUUACCUGGUAGCUCACUGGGAGAAAAGAGAGGGAGGGCUCGAACAAAACUUCAGUUUUAUAUGGGUAUUACCAAAAGUCGCAUUCUGUUUUCUCAGUGGUCAAACCACAUGCCAAGAGUCAAGAACUGGCCCUUGAUAGGUCCUUGUCUUUUUUGAAGGAAAUCUAAGGUCUUGACUAGGCAAUAGUCCAUAUGCUUUUUCAACUAAAAGCCAAACUGUGUUGAACCAUAACACUUAGAAAUUCCAUGGAAUAGGACAGAUAUUGUUGAGAGAGAAAUGGCACUGGAAACAAGUUUCAAUUGAUGGCCUUGCAAAUAAGACUAGAUAUUAUGGAGAAACAGAACUAUGAAAGAUGCAUUGUAGUAGGACCCAUGAGGGGUAAUUUUAGAUGAUUGGCUUUAAGGCACUAGCAGCAUUGUGUGGCAAAAGCUGAUAGGUCAAAAAACGCUUAUAAUGUAUUGUAAUUAGGAAAUAGUUGGCUUCUGAUUGUGUGAUGGUGUGAAUUGUAACAUCUGUAUUGUCUCACCCUUCACAUGAGACUGAAAAUGGAAUAAAUGUUUUUAAAAUGCCUCUCAGUUGCCCACAUCUCUGGGUCAGAAAAGGCUAUAAUCCAAGACCUUUCCACCUGUUUUUGAUAAGCUGGGUGAAAUAGAUCAGUAAGUAACAUGACUUUGAUAAGAUUGUAUGUAGUCAGGAGUUAACAAAUAAGUGAAUUUCCAGUUCAAUUUGAGCAACUCUAUGGCGAAUACGACCCAAGAAUUAACAGACUAUUAACUCAACACUCAUCAGUAUAUGCUAGCAGAUGAAAAUGUUUCACAUAUGAACUAGGUGUUCUGUUCAAAAAUAGAUGUUUAAUAUUUUUGCAGUAGAAUAAAGAGUAGCUUCAUGUUGAGCUAGGGCACUGACUGGGAGAAUUGUGCUGUGUUAACUUGAUGUUACUCAAAAGUUGCUGUUCCCAUUGGGAACACAUUUUUGUGUACUAGACCAUCCAUCCUACCACCUUCUAUCAGCAAAGGAAAUACUGUCAAGUAAUUCCAUCCUCUGUUCAAAAUACCUUUCAGAGACGAUUUUGAUUCUGAUCCUGCAGAGACUUAACAACUUGGUUAAUUCUGACCAUUGCACAUGAACAGAGAAGUCAAUUUGAGACCUGCCUAUUUGGCAUGAAAGAACUAUAAGAUACAUGUUAAUGUGUGAUUUCCAUGUGGGCUGAUCCAAUUAGGUCAUAUUUAGCAUAUUGUCAUUCAUUAAAAAGAGGAGUCCAGCUCAGUUACCUGAGUGCUCAGUCAGAAUAAUUGUCCCUAAAUGAAGAUCAGAGGCUUUUGUUUUUCAUUACAUUCUCUAAGUUAUACACACUGUAGCAGCUGUAAGAAAUUUGGCUUGAGUCCUACCAUGGUUUGGAGUACUUUUUCUCCAUCUCUGCUGUUAAUGCAGCAUUAAAUCUUUCGGCCAAUGUUCCUCAGAAGAUGAGAGAAGAGGAAUGGGGCAGAGCAAGAAGGUGAAGUACUUUAAUGUCUUGAAUGGCAUGUUCUUCUGUCUUUAUUACCUGGUUAUAAUAAUGAUAAAAUUGUUGACCUCUUCAAAUAAAAAUCUGU
Molecule: long non-coding RNA, 2810 nt
Organism: Prinia subflava (tawny-flanked prinia)
Lineage: Eukaryota; Metazoa; Chordata; Aves; Passeriformes; Cisticolidae
Exons: 5
Source: RefSeq, a predicted model, not a curated record